RNAcentral lists this long non-coding RNA (705 nucleotides) under Homo sapiens (human). RNAcentral describes it as "HSALNT0192571". The record is from RNAcentral. Lineage: Eukaryota; Metazoa; Chordata; Mammalia; Primates; Hominidae.
AAUUCAUCAAGUAUAAUUUAGGUUUUCUUCAUUAGUUUCUGCUCAGGUUUUGGUGAUGUAAAAUGAAUGAAUCACAGUCCUGGUCCUCAAAGAUAGCCAUACUGAAGGAGAUGGACAUGAACAUAAAGAACCUCCAUGCUGAAUGAGAAGCCCAUCACAGCCCAUGAUGACCUGUAUAAUGUGCUUCUGGGAGAAAAGAAGUCUCAAAACCUAAGGGAGAUACCCAGAGUAAUUUCUCUAAGGAGUUGUUUGAGAUUGAUUGAAGACCUCAAUUGUGAGAAAAAACAAACUCAGAGAGGGCAGAGAAAGGCAACUGAGACCUUGCCAUACAAUGCCUUGGUGGGAUGGACUUUCUGGUAAACCUUGUGUUAACUCCUCAAGGAAAUGCCUGGGCAUAUACCAGAAUAGUGUCUGACAGUGUGAUGCAACCUAAUGCUGCCUCUACUUGCUGGAAUUUUACUUUGUGCCUCUGGGUGGUAAUUAGGGAUUGUUUGAUCUGAGUCAAUAAAAUACUAUUCAAUUUCCCCUGCAGACAUCAGAGAUGCAUUUAUUACAGUAAAAAUAUUUUCCCAUGCCACUAUUUGAAUUUAAAGCAUACAUGUCUGCUCAUUUAAUUUCUAGCUACUUACACCAGCUUUUUAACAUAUAGACUAAGUGCAAAUUAAAAACACAAGGACAUUACUCAUGUUUCUGGAGGUAAAGAUG